AUUGAACGCUGGCGGCAUGCUUUACACAUGCAAGUCGAACGGUAACAGGUUAAGCUGACGAGUGGCGAACGGGUGAGUAAUGCAUCGGAACGUGCCCGAUCGUGGGGGAUAACGCAGCGGAAGCUGCGCUAAUACCGCAUACGAUCUGAGGAUGAAAGCGGGGGACCGUAAGGCCUCGCGCGAUCGGAGCGGCCGAUGUCAGAUUAGGUAGUUGGUGGGGUAAAGGCUCACCAAGCCAACGAUCUGUAGCUGGUCUGAGAGGACGACCAGCCACACUGGGACUGAGACACGGCCCAGACUCCUACGGGAGGCAGCAGUGGGGAAUUUUGGACAAUGGGCGAAAGCCUGAUCCAGCAAUGCCGCGUGCAGGAAGAAGGCCUUCGGGUUGUAAACUGCUUUUGUACGGAGCGAAAAGGCUCUCUCUAAUACAGGGGGCUCAUGACGGUACCGUAAGAAUAAGCACCGGCUAACUACGUGCCAGCCGCCGCCGUAA
Molecule: ribosomal RNA, 493 nt
Filed under: uncultured bacterium
Lineage: Bacteria
Description: partial 16S ribosomal RNA
Rfam family: Bacterial small subunit ribosomal RNA
Source: RNAcentral